This 22-nucleotide non-coding RNA is filed under the name Arabidopsis thaliana (thale cress). The record is from RNAcentral. Lineage: Eukaryota; Viridiplantae; Streptophyta; Magnoliopsida; Brassicales; Brassicaceae.
UCUAAGGUCUGGUGCUGAAUUC